GAGCCGAGCAGGGAUGGAGCGGACUGCGCACGGAGAAGCCCUGGCGAGGUUGCGAAGGACCCGGGUUCAAUUCCCGGCGGCUCCA
RNAcentral lists this transfer RNA (85 nucleotides) under Corynebacterium bovis DSM 20582 = CIP 54.80. Its description in RNAcentral is "tRNA-Ala". The record is from RNAcentral. Lineage: Bacteria; Bacillati; Actinomycetota; Actinomycetes; Mycobacteriales; Corynebacteriaceae.